AGGUGGUGUGAACCUCACAACAUACAUAUAAGUGGUACAAAGUAAGCAGGUGCUCUGGGAGAAGCUGAGGGAAAUCCUUUCCCACACCUAGUCCUUUCACUUGGGAGAUAAUUUUGUUUGAUUCUAAAGAGUACUAUGACUUCAGGGCCCAAAGAGGACAGCUCAUUGGAAAUAGUUCAGAGCGCUUAUCUCUUCAUAGGAGAUCCCAACACAAACUCAUCAUUCAUAAUGGAGAAGCAUCCACUGCACACGCCUACUACUACCAGACUAGUUUUUUCAUCUCUGAAAAAAGGGAACAGAACACUACGGUCUAGAGAGAUGUGUCACAAGCACUUCAUCCAAGAUGCAACAGCUCAUAGACUGCAAAGAAAGGCACAUACUUUGUGAAGCAACUGGCAAUUAAAUAUUUCAACUGGAUAGUCAAUUCAAGCAUUUUAACUUGAAAGACUGCCAAGAUAGAAGAAUCACUGGAACUCUCAAAUAGCGAUUUCACUAACUUUGUGAUUGAUUUAGGGUCCACGGCAUCCUUCUGUAUAUGCUAUUCUAAUUCGUAAUAUCAGUAACUGAACUUGUCAGAUGCAGCCAGAUUAUUCUCAUCAGUUAAAAAAUCCGAAAUCCAGAACAAAAGGUCCGUUUAUUUUUUACUAAUGACUAGUCAUACCUUUUGCCUACUGCCACUUAGAAGUUUUUUCCAAAUGAUUUUGACACUUCGGUUAUGGGGAAAAUUUUCCUAAAAAACAGAUUUCUUCCUUUUACUUAUGUCUGAUAAAAGCAUAUAUAUCUCAUACAUCAAAUAUAUGCCACACCCGUAUAGGUACAUCCACACACACAUGUAUCCAUACUAUAGACACAACCACACUGUUUUGCUCCCUUAGCAGAAACAAAUAGAUAUGGUAAGUUUUCUGUAUUAUCGUUUGAGUACGCUUUCUACAGAAUUCAGGAGAAGAACAAAGAUGGAUAUAUUCUUUUGCAUCUAUGUCUCUUCAUGUGAGCCCAGUUUGACAGGCCAUUUUCAGCAGAUAAAGCAUAAUAAACACAGAGAUCAGUCAAAACUUCCCUUCAGAUUUUAAGCCCCUUGGGGGGAAAGUGAGUUACUUAGUUGAGCUUGGGCUUCUGUUUUCACGUAAUCUUCUAAAGCAAGAGGCCAGUUUCCUGAAAAUAGAUCUGCAUGCAGAGACUGGCUACCAAAUUAACAUAGGGGAAAAAAAUCUCAUUGUUCGCUAGCAGGGAAACGAAAAAAAAAACCAGUUGGUAAAUUAAUAGGGGCUCAUUCAUUCUCCUUCCAGGACAUGGACAAGGAAACAGGAUGGCAGCAGCUGCUAUCUGCUGGCUCUGCUGAGUCUUUCCGUGACAUUCAACCGCGAGGAAAGAUUUUACUCAGUGAACAUUACCAUGUUUCCAUUCCUCCUUAUCCUCCAGCUCCAACAAUCAACCUGACUGUUCUGCAUUUUUUAGGCCAGGAUACUGUAGGGCUGAAUUUCUGUAACUCAGGGUAUUUCUAUUUUAAUCAUCAACAAUUUUUAGGUAUUGCAUCAUUUGAAAGGAAUGUUAUUUUUUAACAACUCUUUCUCACACAGAGAACACACUUAAAAUUGCAAAACUCUCCAUCCCCAGCAUUAAAAUCAUCACCUUUCAGGAACAUCCUUCCUAAUUGUCUCUCAGCCCACAAGCCAUGAGAAUGUGUUUCCAUUUCAAAAUCCAGUCUUCACUGUCGUACUUUAUAUGAUGCUUUUUGAGCAGCUUGCCCUUCUUUGGAUUUUUUUCUUCCAAAUCUGAUAGGAAAGUUGGAGCCUGAAAUGUGAAUCCAUAAACCACACCAGUAACUCUCGUGUGGCAAAAGCGGAACAGUGGAAAUACAUUGUUUUCAUUGAAGUGAAAUGCCAGUCUGUUCUUGCAUGAGCGAACUGGAUUAAGAUAACUUCCCUUGGGGAUUCAGGUUCACAAGGAGACUGUAUCUGACUACAAGACUUCUUUAAGAACGUAGUUUCAAAAUGCUACGGACAUCAGGUUACAACAGUCCUGACUGGAGAAAGUAAACCAGAAUAGAGAUGCAACUGUUACUGCUAUGGAGCUGAUCACCUAGUUGUAAGUCCUUCUCUCUCAACUCACAUGCCUUUAGUGAAAGCUUUCCUGCAGGAAGCAGAUGAACAAGGAGCGCAAGACCCGGAGCCGCGCUUCUGAGUUGAAGUCCUGGCUAUGCUAUUUACUAGCUAUGUGAUCCUGGGCAAUCAUUUAAUUUUUCUGAGGUUGAUUAUCCUGAUCUAGAGAAUGGAGACAUAAAUUCCUAGACUGCAGUGGUUGUUAGGGUUAUACGUAAUUCAGUAUAUGGAAACAUUCUAUAAUUUUUAAAGCACUACACAAACAUUUAUUUUAUUAGAUGGAUCAGCACCCCGGAGCGCCUUUUCAGGGUGAAGCACAAAAUGAACUGAGAAAUGGACGGGAAGGUACUCUGAAAAAUAGGGACAGCUUCCAUUUUUGGAACACUCUGCGCCAGAUACUGCUGCAUGCUUUAAUAUGCAUUUUCUCAACGUUCAAAACCACCUGACAAGGUUGGUGGUGUCAUCUCCAUUUCCCAGGUGAGGGAACAGAGAUUUAGAACGGGGACAUGACUUGCCCUUGGUCACAAAGCUUGUGGAGGGCAAGACCAGGGUGCAAAGCGGGAUUUGCCCGAAUCCAGGCCCAGGCUUUUAGCCGUGAGUCUCUGCUGGCUCAGUGCUUUAUAGAGACUGUAACGGCUAUUCUCCACGUGGCCGGAUGGAACUUUGAAUGUAAACUGGCUCCGAUUUCAGGGUUUCACCAAUAAGCACAUGAGCAAACCAUUAAAACCAGCUUUGGUUCUGAUCAGCAGAAGCAGCACCCAACAACCCACCAAGAGGACGGCGACAACUUGGAAAUUAGUAGGAUUUGGCUAGCACUGAACGGUCGGAGACCUGGACGCUCAGCCACACACGUGAUUCGCAGUGUGCCCUUAAGCAAGCCACAUCUUCUCUAAAGUUUGGCUUCCUGCUAAUCUAAAGGAGGCUCAAGUCAAAAGAGCAUAGUGACUAGCCCAACACUCAUUCACAUAAUUAUGACAGCGCUAAAAUAAUGUCUCUAAAAUACAGCCCCGCAGUUUAUCCUUCUAAGUUCCCCGUUUCUAAGAGGCAGUAUGGCGACAUGGUCACAUGUAGACUUCUGGAGGCAGAAUGCAAGCUCUGCAAUUCGCUCCCUGCACAACCCUGGGUAACUUAGGUUAACUCUCAGUGUCUCAGUCUCCUCAGCUGUUUAAAAUAAGGAUGAUGAUAGUACCCACCACACCUAAGGUUGCUGUGACAAUUAAAUAAAUCAGGUACAGCAAUUCGAACUAGCAAUGGCACAACGUAAAUACUCAAUAAAUGAUAGCCACGAUGACAGAAAUAAUAAAUCAUUUUUCCCUUAGCACAUUAUAAGCAGAGAGGUGGCUAAGAGAUCUGCCACAGCUUGUAAAUGGAAAAAGCUCACAGAUCCUGCUUCCGUCCAUUUCAUCGUACAUGGAUACAUGUCAGCCCAGCUGACUGCAGAGGAAUCCGACAAAUACUAAAAUCGGAAGACGCCCUCAGAUCUACAAAUGGCAUCUCCAACUGAAUUAACUGAAAUGAGUAUCUUUAAUAUUUUUUACCUUCUUCUCCUCUUCCCAUUCUAAGACCUGAAUACGGGAUCUGUACCCUUCCUUUUAAGCAGGAGUUCACGUUAUAGACUUUUCCCACUGCUAAGUUAGGAGUUGAGGGUUUAAGAGAAAAGGAAUAGAGAUCAACCCUGAUGACCAUUUAAAAAAAUUUAUGGGGAAUCAGCCAGGAACAAAAUAAAACGAAACUCGCUUGAGGUUGAUUUUACGAGCACAAGCCUCUACUUACACAGGAGUGUGAGAGCAACCUGUUGACAGAUAUUUUCCAGGCACAGAAAUCCUCAGGAGGCAACCGCUCAGAAGAUCAGCACCUGGAAUUUAAAUGACAGUAUGAGCCCUUAGGAAAUCUCCCAGAGCAACAGAGGAAGUAAAAGUCAGUUGUUUUCUCUUGUUCCUCCGCCAACGUCAUAAAGAGAUGAAUUUUUAAAAACAAGAAAUAAGGAGCACCUUCUCCUUCCUGCUGCAUAGGUUGGGAAAGUUCCUGCACAGUGAGCGGUGGACAUGCUCCUCACUGGUGCGUCCACCGACACGAGGCUGUGCGUUUCGCAGAUCAUUAAGGUUUGCUCAGCAAGAGGUCUUAUGAAAUAAAACAUGGUAUAGACCUAUAGCUCCAGUCACGGAAGAAAGGCAUGAAAGCAGCCCGCACAGAAGACAGGGAGAGGUUUCUAUUUUCAAAAUUGGUUUCGCAACCUCAGGCUGCAGCAGCACAGACUGCAGAGGCCAGCAGAGGGCAGCAGCAGUCUGCAAGUGCAACCUUCUCUCACUGCUCCGCGGUCAAGCGGAGGAAAUACAGAACAGAAACCCCACGAUGUUCUCUCCUGUGUAGUCUAAGUUUAAAGCUGGAGUGCACCUUUUGCCACAUUAUAGGAAAGGAGGCCCGUGUUGUAGAGGUCUUCGUUUUUGAAAACUCAUCGUUCAAGGUGUACUUCAGUCUUCCAUGCACGUGACCUGCCACAGCCACUGGGAGUGCCUUCAUAACAGCCCCAAGGAGGGUUCCUUAGAAGGGGCUUAAGUCCCAAAAGCUCACAUUUCACCCAGCAAGGGGCUGCGUGACUCAGCAGUGUGAGGAAGAAAAGUCUGUCCUGUCAGAUUACUAUCUAUUGCAAUUUCCAAGUGAACAAUUACAACCCCAUGGAGGAACAGAAACAUGGCCGAGGCCAGUGGAUGGGGUGAUAUGGUCUAGACACGUGCAUCAGACAGACUGGGGAAGACAACGCACUGUGGUUCACAGGUGUGAUCUUUAAGCCGAGCGCUGGAGGACAUGUUCUUUAGCGACUAUGCUCACACACUUCAAGAUGCUAUCAAAACACGGACGUAAUACGUUCGGAAGAUUCUUGAAAGUUGGGAUUAAAAUUCAAGAAGAUCUUGACCAGGAAGAGAAAUGGCUGAGAAAAGCCAUUGUUAUAUUCAACACUGUCUUAUGACAGAAAGAUAAAUCUAAAAUAUUCAAGCUGAGAGGAAAAGGAAGGAGGAUCUAUCAGGGUAAACAUAAAAUUCAAACUGACAUGGAGCUAUUAAAUCACACGGCUUUGGAAUAUUUAAAUACUAAUUUAAAAUAAUAGCAUGUUUCCGAAAUUGUCUGUUCAUAAAAAUGACGACAGGACCCAGAGUCAGUGAGGAGCUCUUCCCCUCAAAGGGGCAGCGAGGGCGGGCGAGGGGCUUUCUGCUCCAACACGAAUAGA
Long non-coding RNA from Equus caballus (horse), 5325 nucleotides. Lineage: Eukaryota; Metazoa; Chordata; Mammalia; Perissodactyla; Equidae. The record is from Ensembl.